Molecule: long non-coding RNA, 232 nt
Organism: Siniperca chuatsi (mandarin fish)
Lineage: Eukaryota; Metazoa; Chordata; Actinopteri; Centrarchiformes; Sinipercidae
Exons: 3
Source: RefSeq, a predicted model, not a curated record
AGAAAAAUGCUGCUCUCAUAUUGAUAUGAACUGUAACUUCUCUCUUCUCUCUUUCUGCUGCAUUAUUAUUAAUGCGAAGUAGAACAAUUUCUCAGAAGCAGAGCAGCAGAGCGACAGUGUCCGUGCUGGAUGUGAAGAUGGGGCACACUCUGCUCUGUGUGCUGGGCUUAUUCUUGCUGAAUACACUCCUCUACGGACACGCUGAAGAUUGUAGAAGACAGACGUAUCUCAC